RNAcentral lists this long non-coding RNA (693 nucleotides) under Prunus persica (peach). RNAcentral describes it as "long non-coding RNA (PPER_LNC005432)". The record is from RNAcentral. Lineage: Eukaryota; Viridiplantae; Streptophyta; Magnoliopsida; Rosales; Rosaceae.
GGUAAUAUUAUAAAUUAAAGGUGAGCGGGAGAUGCACGGCCAUCGCACGGCCAACCCGACACAUCCUAUUUCUUUGUUUGUUUUUUUGAAUUGGAAAUGCGUGUUCGACAAAAAAAAGAAAAGAAAAAAGAAAUGGAAAAUGCAAUGGGAUAUUGUAAAUAAUAAUGAUCUCCUUCUUUUUUUAAAAUGGUGGGUAGGGUAGGGUAGGGUUUAGGGUUGGUUUGUAUAAUAAGAGGCGAGGGAGAGCAUGGCCCAACCCACCGACACUUAAUUUUUUGCCUUUUGCGUGAAAAUAGCAUUCACUGAAUAGUAAAUGCGCGGACAACCGUUCAAAUCGGUUGGUCAAUUAAGAUAUCAAUUAAAUUCCUAAAAAUACUAAGCCUUAUUUUUAGGGAUUAACCUUUUCAUAAGUGCACCACAUACAAGUCUCAAUUCUCAAUUCUCAAUUCUCUCUCUCCCAACCAAGUCUCGAUUAUAUCUCCCAACCGUCUGUUCUUCUCUUCCUCUCCAUAAUCUUUCCUCAGCUAGAACCCUCGCGAUCUUUCUCCCUCCUCUCCGCCCUUGCCUCUCUUUUGCUCUCCCUGUCCCUUCUCACCCCAAGCACCAGAACCCUCUCGAUUAUCACCCUUCGCUCUCCAUCGCUCUCCCAACCUCGGUUCUCUCUAUCCCAACCAAGCCUCGAUUAUANNNNNN